GAUGAACGCUGGCGGCGUGCCUAAUACAUGCAAGUCGGGCGAACGGACGAGAAGCUUGCUUCUCUGAUGUUAGCGGCGGACGGGUGAGUAACACGUGGAUAACCUACCUAUAAGGCUGGGAUAACUUCGGGAAACCGGAGCUAAUACCGGAUAAUAUUUUGAACCGCAUGGUUCAAAAGUGAAAGACGGUCUUGCUGUCACUUAUAGAUGGAUCCGCGCUGCAUUAGCUAGUUGGUAAGGUAACGGCUUACCAAGGCAACGAUGCAUAGCCGACCUGAGAGGGUGAUCGGCCACACUGGAACUGAGACACGGUCCAGACUCCUACGGGAGGCAGCAGUAGGGAAUCUUCCGCAAUGGGCGAAAGCCUGACGGAGCAACGCCGCGUGAGUGAUGAAGGUCUUCGGAUCGUAAAACUCUGUUAUUAGGGAAGAACAUAUGUGUAAGUAACUGUGCACAUCUUGACGGUACCUAAUCAGAAAGCCACGGCUAACUACGUG
RNAcentral lists this ribosomal RNA (497 nucleotides) under uncultured bacterium. RNAcentral describes it as "partial 16S ribosomal RNA". It matches the Rfam family "Bacterial small subunit ribosomal RNA", at positions 28 to 507 of the family's 1533-position model. The record is from RNAcentral.